GGGGCUGCUGGCGGGCGGGUAGGCAUCGCGGCCGGUUCCGGCCUGUUCCUGCCGGUUCCGGCCUGUUCCUGCCGGGCGCGGGCCCU
Molecule: transfer RNA, 86 nt
Filed under: Streptomyces rubradiris
Lineage: Bacteria; Bacillati; Actinomycetota; Actinomycetes; Kitasatosporales; Streptomycetaceae
Description: tRNA-Arg
Source: RNAcentral